Molecule: long non-coding RNA, 480 nt
Organism: Hevea brasiliensis (rubber tree)
Lineage: Eukaryota; Viridiplantae; Streptophyta; Magnoliopsida; Malpighiales; Euphorbiaceae
Exons: 3
Source: RefSeq, a predicted model, not a curated record
CUGACAAAUUUUCAGUCUGCCCAAGUACCCACAAGAAUGGUGCAACUUCACCAGCAAGUACUCAGAAUCACAUCCUGCCUUUGCAUGGUUGAAGUGCAAGGAGGAUACAAACUGUGAAAGUCUUCUAAGAGCACAUAAGAUACUGACAAGAGGCGGAGAGCGUUUCGGAGUUGGCCAAGAGUACGCCAGGAUUAGCUUGCUCAGUAGAGAACGAGAUUUUAACCAAUUUCUAGAGAGGCUAUCAGGAAUAAAAACUGCGGGGCAGGGAAUCAGAACCACCUGAAUUUUAGACAUAUUAAGAGGGCAUGGAAUCCUAUGUGCCAGGGCAUGAGUGAAGAUUGAGCAUAAACAAGUUUUUUGAUGAGGCUACAGUGGUGGAGCUGGCUUAGCAGGUAGCUGAUGAUAUUCAUUAACAAAUGAUAUGAGGUUCCCAUAUGGUUGAUAUUUUGUCAUUUUCUAGCCAGAAAGAUGUGAACGAAC